Molecule: long non-coding RNA, 3410 nt
Filed under: Fragaria vesca (wild strawberry)
Lineage: Eukaryota; Viridiplantae; Streptophyta; Magnoliopsida; Rosales; Rosaceae
Description: long non-coding RNA (FVES_LNC000480)
Source: RNAcentral
UCGAGUUAGGGUUGUCCAUCUGCAAGGGAGAUUUGCUUAAUCUUUUCAGUAAAUUUUCCUUGGAGGUGGUCCCCGCACGACUUACUCCGGGUUUCAGGGUGAAAUUUGGGGUGGGUCGUGUCAUAUAUUUUAAAACAAAAGUCCACUCACAACUUUCAGCCUAAGCCUGACGUCGAUCCGAUGCCUCUUCCACUCGAGCCUCCUCACGUCCUGAUCCAAACAUAUAAUUAAUUUCCCACUAAAAAUCCAAUAAUUAAACAAAAUGGGAAAAAUUAAACGUGAGCCUCCCACACACUCAUUAUUGCCCAACUUCGCCAUUCUUAACUCAAAACGGCUCAAACUUCACCGAACAUACCGGCAACCCUAAUUACAACUUCCCUCAUAAAAUGACUUAAAUCCUACGGCCGGAUUUUACAUUAUUCAACCGCCAAAAAUACCACACUUCGGAAAUUCAUAACCCUAUCCAAAACUCAUCCAAAAAUUUCAUAAUUCACUUCAAUAAACUCCCCUUAAUAAUCCAAAUUUAAAAACAUUAAAAUCUCCCAACCGGCGGCGGCCGGAGGCCGAUUCCGGCGACCUCCAAUGCCCACCAAAUUUUAACAGCAGAUUCUUCUCCACUCCCUUUACAACUUUCCUAACUAGCACAACCACAAAAUUCAAGCCUAGCUAGGGUAAUCGAACACAAACACCUAAAAAGCCCUAGGAUUUCAACUUCGAAUUUCUCCUUACCUAGCUCAAGAGGGAGUGAGCCCUUUGGAGGGAUUGAUGCACGGGAGGAGAGCUUCACAACGAGCCAAGACUCGCCGGCUAUGGCGGCCGGAGGAGGGAGCUCCGGCGAAUGGAGCAACCGGCUGCUAAGGGAGUUUCCUCCCCAUUCGGCGGCGUAACCGACCCGGUCACCAGCCCAGGCGAGGAGAGGAGGCGGCGGCAGUCCGAACGGGACCGGUGCGGCGACCUGGCUUGGCCAGACGGCGUCGGCGGGUGGAGGAUUCCGGCAGAGGAGGAGGGAGCUUGGGAGGGGAAGGAAAAGAAAAGAGAGAAGAAGAAAAAGAGGAGAAGAAGAGAAGAAAAGAGGAAAUAAAAAUGGGGUUUAGGCCUCACUCACCAACCCGGCCCAACACCACAAAUAUUACCUAACUCCACCAAUUUAACACCCCAAAACAAAAUACCCUAAUAAAAAUUACCUUUUACUAGCUAAAAUUUACUAAUUUUUACCGUCGUCAUAAUUUUCUCUUACAAAUAAUUGUCCCUUAAAACCCCUCUAGGGACUAAUUAAAACUAUAAACUCAUUUACCGUCGUCAUACUUACCUUUUACUAGCUAAAAUUUACUAAUUUUUACCGUCGUCAUAAUUUUCUCUUACGAAUAAUUGUCCCUUAAAACCCCCUAGGGACUAAUUAAAACUAUAAACUCAUUGACGGAGACGGUAAAAUUUUUAUUAUAACCAAGCUAGUAAAUAAGGUAAAAAUUUAAGGGUCGGGAUGUGACAUUAUUUCUUUUUCUUUGUCGUUGUAUACGUUUCCAUUCUCUUCUGCCGAAGCAGGUAAGCCAAGUGCCAAGUUUUCUCUCUUUAAUCUGCAGGUAUGAUUCUUAAUUAUAUCGGUCAUCCUCUUAAAGGGUCUUGUACGUGUCAUAUGACCUAGUUCUCAAAUCUCAAUUGAUUAAUAAUGUCUUGAUCAAAUUUAGUUCCAAUAUCCCAUCAUCUCAAAUCUCAAUUGAUUAAUGCCUUGAUAGUCUCAAUAUCUCAUCAUCCCAUCACACUGUAUUUCUAUUGAUAUUCUAAUUCUAAUCUCAAUAUAUUACUUGCUUACUAAUUCUAAGCCAAGUGUCAAGUUUUCUCUCUUUAAUCUGUAGGUAUGAUUCUUAGUUAUAUCGGUCAUCCUCUUGAAGUCUUGUACGUGUCAUAUGACCUUGUUCUCAAAUCUCAAUUGAUUAAUGCUUUGAUCAAAUUUAGUCGCAAUAUCUCAUCAUCUCAAAUUUCAAUUGAUUAAUGUCUUGAUAGUCUCAAUAUCUCAUCAUCCCAUCGCACUGUAUUUCUAUUAAUAUUCUAAUUCUAUUAUCAAUUGCUUACUUACUAAUUCUAAACCAAGUGUCAAACUUUAUCUAUUUAAUCUGCAUGUAUGAUUAUUAGUUAUAUUGGUCAUUCUCUUGGAGUCUUGUACGUGUCAUAUGACCUAGUUCUCAAAUCUCAAUUGAUUAAUGUUUUGAUCCAAUUUAGUCCCAAUAUCUCAUCAUCUCAAAUCUCAUGUGUAUCAGCAAGAGGGGCUAAUCCGAACGUGGUUUGUCUCCAUUCAAUUGAGAGGGAAGCCCCCGGGACGCUACGGUGCCUUAGCUGGUUCCCGAUCCUCCUUCAAAAGUGGGAAAGAGAGGCGGAAGGCGCCCCUUCCAAACAAUGAAAAAAAUCCGAGGAACUUCGAAGCUUAUAGGGCCUCCUCUUGUAAGCUAGCUCCAUUCGAUCGAUCGCUUCCGUUCAUAAUAGAUUGGUUGUGAAUUAAUUGAUUAAUGCCUUGAUAGUCUCAAUAUCCCAUCAUCCUAUCACACUGUAUUUCUAUUGAUAUUCUAAUUAUAAUCUCAAUUGCUUGCUUAUUUUAUUGUAGAUAACUAAUGCUUUUGAUGUGUAUAUAUAUAGAUAUAUAGUUGUAAUAGUACCAACAUUUGAUUCAUAGUUAUUAGAUUGUGUUUUUCCGUCCUGUUAGGUUUAAGGAUUAUACACUCGUUUACUGUAUUGUUAGAGCGGUGAUUGUGUGCUUAGUUAUUAGAUUUUGCUUCUAUUCAAGAGCGUAUGGUUCAAUUUGAGUAUGUUUGUUCUUUUAUCUUUAGCUUUUGUUAUCGAAUUUCUAUAAAAUGUUAAAAUAUUAAUUUCUUAAUGAUCAGUUAACUACGUGAUUAUUUGAUAUGUUUUUAAUCUAAAAUGUGAUAUGUAAAAUAUAGAAGAAAAAAAAAUAAAACAAUUUUAAGAAAAAAAUUUCAGUCCACCCCAACCUAAAAUCCUAGGUCCAACAUUGUGUGUGUGUGUAUAUAUUUAUAUAUACAGUCCGUUUCAGAUACGAACGUCCACACCGUAAACGGUGCGGACGUCCGCACCUGAUAACUGUUGUGUAUAUAUAUAUAUAUAUAUAUCAUGAAAUUAGAUUAAUUUAUAAUUAAUUUGAUCAAGAGAUUAACGUAAUCUUGUAAGGCUAUAACAUAUUCGAUCCUAUAAUGCAGUUCAUUGCAUUUAUAACUAGUACUGUCUAUGCAGCUUGUAAUCACAAGGAAGUAAAAGCUAGCGUCAGAGAUAGAUAGCGAAUUAGGGCUCUCUUGCAUACCCAAGAUGAAUUACCUACCCUACCUGGUCAUUGUUUGCCCAUAAUGCAACUCGAUCGAACACGGAACCAAAUUUGCCAACCAUCAAAUUUGGUGGUCANNNNN